Molecule: long non-coding RNA, 979 nt
Filed under: Equus caballus (horse)
Lineage: Eukaryota; Metazoa; Chordata; Mammalia; Perissodactyla; Equidae
Description: lncRNA (ENSECAG00000042368.2)
Source: RNAcentral
AUUUUAUGCUGGGUUCAGCUGAGCAGUUUUCUGCCAGUCAUAGGUGUCUCUGCUGGGCUCUCCCAUGCUCUGCCAGGAAAGCUGGGGGCUGGCUCUCUCACAUCACUGGAGCCUUGGCUGGGACAGUUCAUCCCUGCUCCAUGGGGUCUCUCAUUAUCCAGGAGGCUAGCCUGGGCUUCUUCACACAGCCAUCUCAGGGUCCAAAGAACAGCAAGAGAAGACAAGGAGAUUUCGGGCAAUACUGCAUUCACUACAGACAAGUCUGCUUCUGGAGAGACAUGCUACUGAUAGCAAAGAAGGAAGAACAGAAAAGAAAACCAAAAGAGCAGAAUCACCAGAAAAAUCUGCUGAAAACUCAGAUUCUUGGGCCCAACUCAUACCAACUGAAUCAGAAUCUCAGAAAGUGCCUGACAAAAAAGUGGGUCAUAGGAAUGCUCAAAAUGGAAGGAAUCCAGUUACAACCCGGAAGGUAUGAAAGCUGCCCAGCCAGUUUUGGACACCUGCUCCUCAAGCUUCUCCUCAUUCCUCAUCCUAAAGACUCAAGAGGCUCGCAGGAAAUCUCAUAAUAGAGACUUUCAAAUAAUCUACCUAGAAUAUUUUUUGUCAUUUUUAUUUUACUAUUAAUUUGUUAAAGUCUGUUACGCUGUAACUAGUAUUAGGAUGUGCAUGCUCCAAAUUACUUUUGUUUUAUUUUGUUCUUCUUAACCUGAAAUUUUGCUAUAACUACCUUCAUGCACAGUCAAAUCAUUGAGUAAAAUGAUCCAUUUGGCAUACAUUGAUUCAAUAGACUCCUGUGGAAAGACAGCGAGAGAGAAAGGAUAAUGGUUACCAUUUAUUAAUUAUCUACUACAUGGCACAGUCUGUGUAAGUGUUUUAUAUAUAUAUAUAUAUAUAUAUAUAUGAUCUGAUUAAUCUCCACAAAAACUCUGCAAUGAAGGUAUCCUUAUUUUACGGAAAAAAGCCAAGACUUCCCUGUUCC